UCAAGGGUAUAAUCAUCAUCAGUAACUAACCCUAACU
This 37-nucleotide small RNA is filed under the name Romboutsia ilealis. RNAcentral describes it as "CRISPR spacer". The record is from RNAcentral. Lineage: Bacteria; Bacillati; Bacillota; Clostridia; Peptostreptococcales; Peptostreptococcaceae.